CCCAAGGGUAUGGCUGUUCGCCAUUUAAAGUGGUACGCGAGCUGGGUUCAGAACGUCGUGAGACAGUUCGGUCCCUAUCUGCCGUGGGCGCUGGAGAUUUGAGAGGAGCUACGCCUAGUACGAGAGGACCGGCGUGGAGGUACCGCUGGUGGUCCGGUUGUUUCGCCAGAAGCAUAGCCGGGUAGCUACGUACCGACAGGAUAACCGCUGAAAGCAUCUAAGCGGGAAACCUCCCUCAAGAUAAGAUCUCCCGAGGAUUUAAUCCUCCUCAAGGUCCGUUGAAGACGACGACGUAGAUAGGUGGGGUGUGUAAGUACAGUAAUGUAUUGAGCUAACCCAUACUAAUUGACCGUGUGGCUUAAUUUGA
RNAcentral lists this ribosomal RNA (367 nucleotides) under Rickettsiella grylli. RNAcentral's name for it is "bacterial LSU rRNA". It matches the Rfam family "Bacterial large subunit ribosomal RNA", at positions 2564 to 2925 of the family's 2925-position model. Lineage: Bacteria; Pseudomonadati; Pseudomonadota; Gammaproteobacteria; Legionellales; Coxiellaceae. The record is from RNAcentral.